CAGUCGCCGCGGGAACACGUAGGGUGCAAGCGUUAAUCGGAAUUACUGGGCGUAAAGCGUGCGCAGGCGGUUUGUUAAGACAGAUGUGAAAUCCCCGGGCUCAACCUGGGAACUGCAUUUGUGACUGGCAGGCUAGAGUAUGGCAGAGGGGGGUGGAAUUCCGCGUGUAGCAGUGAAAUGCGUAGAUAUGCGGAGGAACACCGAUGGCGAAGGCAGCCCCCUGGGCCAAUACUGACGCUCAUGCACGAAAGCGUGGGGAGCAAACAGGAUUAGAUACCCCGGUAGUCCCUGUCUCUUAUAC
Molecule: ribosomal RNA, 301 nt
Filed under: uncultured bacterium
Lineage: Bacteria
Description: partial 16S ribosomal RNA
Rfam family: Bacterial small subunit ribosomal RNA
Source: RNAcentral